Molecule: ribosomal RNA, 121 nt
Organism: Legionella drancourtii LLAP12
Lineage: Bacteria; Pseudomonadati; Pseudomonadota; Gammaproteobacteria; Legionellales; Legionellaceae
Source: Rfam
CCUGGCGACAAUAGCGGUUGGAACUGGAACCACCUGAAUCCAUCUCGAACUCAGAAGUGAAACGAACAUGCGCCAAUGAUAGUGUGAGGUUUCCUCAUGUGAAAGUAGGUCAUCGCCAGGG